Molecule: ribosomal RNA, 253 nt
Filed under: uncultured bacterium
Lineage: Bacteria
Description: partial 16S ribosomal RNA
Rfam family: Bacterial small subunit ribosomal RNA
Source: RNAcentral
UACAGAGGUCUCAAGCGUUGUUCGGAUUUACUGGGCGUAAAGGGCGCGUAGGCGGCGGGUCAAGUCGAGUGUGAAAGCCCCGGGCUCAACCUGGGAAUUGCGCUCGAGACUGGUCUGCUUGAGUUCGGGAGAGGAGAGUGGAAUUCCCAGUGUAGAGGUGAAAUUCGUAGAUAUCGAGAGGAACACCGGUGGCGAAGGCGGCGAUCUGGACGAUGACUGACGCUGAGACGCGAAAGCGUGGGGAGCAAACAGG